Molecule: ribosomal RNA, 256 nt
Filed under: uncultured Anaerolineaceae bacterium
Lineage: Bacteria; Bacillati; Chloroflexota; Anaerolineae; Anaerolineales; Anaerolineaceae
Description: partial 16S ribosomal RNA
Rfam family: Bacterial small subunit ribosomal RNA
Source: RNAcentral
UUACAAGUGUCACACGGAACUGCCGGGUCAUAAACCGGAGGAAGGUGGGGAUGACGUCAAGUCAGCAUGGCCUUUAUAUCCUGGGCUACACACACGCUACAAUGGGAAGGGACAAUAGGUUGCGAAGCCGCGAGGUGGAGCCAAUCCAGCAAAACUUCCCUCAGUUCAGAUUGCAGGCUGCAACUCGCCUGCAUGAAGUUGGAGUUGCUAGUAAACGCAGGUCAGCCAUACUGCGUUGAAUACGUUCCCGGGGCUU